GCCAACAAGACCCCCAAGCUUAACCUUUGCUCGUCCCGAGCAAAUAAUUAAGUAUGGUUGUUGAUCAGGAGUUGCUACUAUGCCGAUAUAAUUCAGGAGUGUCAUGCCUAUAACAAAGCAUUCGUUCGCAAUUUAAAUAAGUUGGCAUACUAUCCACUCUUUACCUUAAUUUCCCAUGGGACUUUUAGCUUCUCCAAAUUCUUGGGUGGUUGCAAGAUAGAACAAUUGUAAGAGACUCACCAAUCAUUCAUCUUUUGAUAGACUAUCAAUCCAGAGGUUUUUUAUAAGUUUUGUAAAAUAAAUGAGUUCCUCGAAUGAUUCUCUCAAUCGCUCAAUGUGUAUCAAAUCCUUACCAAAGGCAUUAUGUGAUUGCCUUUAAACCUUACCAUUAAGGCUGAGAGUGGAGUUUUGGGCAGGUAUAAAGGUGGGCGUACUUAUGGCACUUGUAUUGCUGAGUCAAAGCCCGGACCAUGAGGAGAUUCAAAUCAUACACCUUGAUUGAGAUGUGCAAGUGUGUGGAGUAUGAGGAAUUGGUGGAAAUGCUAAUUCUAAUUUUUUUUGGUCACUCCUUUGCAUCAUGACUCUCUUUUAUUUGGAGGAUAAGAGAGAGAGGAAGAGGAAAACAUAUGGGCUCUAUCUCUUAAUAAUUUUUUUUUCAUGAUGGGGACUUUUGAUUUUUUUCUUGCUUUCCCGUCUAUGCCUUUUUGGCUUUUCCCUUUAGAUAUUUUUUUCAACUAUAGCCCAUAUGUCUUGAAGAAUGGAAUCAGAGAAAUUUAAAGAGAUGUCAUGAGGACAAAAAGUAAGGAGUGAAUUUGGGGAUGCGCAAAUCUCAGGAUGAGGGUUUGGCAUUUUUAUUUGGUGGAAAGCUAAGGCACAACUCUCAGGAUAAGAGUUGGCAAAAAAUUUUGGUGGAUGGAAGGGUGCAUGUUGUGCGCGACUUCUCAGUGUAAGAGUCGACUUUAUUUGGUGGGUGUAAGUGAAUCUCAAUCAUGGGUGCAUGACCAUAAUCUCACUCUAGGAUCUCAGAGAUUUGACCCGACUCAACGUUCCACAAGCCGCAUAUGACUAAAGGUUUUAAGAACUGAGUAACAAGUCAUCUGGCCUUGGUAGGUAUUUCAUAAUCAUUGAGGAACCCUUUGUUUUAAAUUUUUGAAAAGAAAACUCUGGAUGUCAAGUUUCUCUUAAGACAAAGUCAUAGCAAAAUCUAUUUGUGCCAUAUCAUGUCUCGCAACAACUUAGAAAAGGAUCAUGCAUUCGCAACCCACAUGAUUUCAAGUUUUCACAAUAGGACAUUUUUAGCCAAUAAACUUAAAUCUUGAUGAAGACUAAGUUAUAACUUAGACACUAAAGAAUUAUAGACAGAGCAACUAUUCAUCAUUUCAGCAGAAGAGCAACUAGCAUAUUAAAAGACAUAUGAGAGAGGAAUUAUAUAUAUAUAUAUAAAGAAAAGAGUGCUGAAAAUUAAAUACUAAAAUUGAAGUGCAAGAAAAUAAGAUACAUGUUACCUCU
This 1509-nucleotide long non-coding RNA is filed under the name Sorghum bicolor (sorghum). RNAcentral describes it as "long non-coding RNA (SBIC_LNC007858)". Lineage: Eukaryota; Viridiplantae; Streptophyta; Magnoliopsida; Poales; Poaceae. The record is from RNAcentral.